CUUAGGCAUUCGGCAUCAAUGAAACCCGUGAUAAGUUAAAACUAUAAUACAGUAAAACUUCUCUAAACCGGCCAGCUGCCGAACUGAAUAAAAUGGCCGGUCUAGAGGGGUGCCCGGUUUCCCAAGAAUAUAACAUACGGAAGAUAUGCAGAACUUUCAACUGUGUGACAGAUGCUAAGAAAAAUAUAUAAUUGGUGUCUGUUAUAAUUAUCUGUCAACAUAUUAUUAAUUAUCGGCAGACACGUAAUGUAUAUAUUCUUAAGGUAUAACAAGAUGAAAUUAUUAUUAGUGAGGAUAAAUUUGACUACAUGUUGAUUUUUAUAAAAAGAAAU
This is a long non-coding RNA of Saccostrea cuccullata (small rock oyster), 332 nucleotides long. RefSeq lists it as uncharacterized. The record is from RefSeq and is a predicted model, not a curated record. Lineage: Eukaryota; Metazoa; Mollusca; Bivalvia; Ostreida; Ostreidae. The transcript is spliced from 2 exons.